UACAGAGGUCCCAAGCGUUGUUCGGAUUCACUGGGCGUAAAGGGUGCGUAGGUGGUUAGGUAAGUCCGAUGUGAAAUCUCCAGGCUCAACCUGGAAAUGGCAUUGGAUACUAUCUAGCUUGAGGAGUGGAGGGGGGACUGGAAUUCUCGGUGUAGCAGUGAAAUGCGUAGAUAUCGAGAGGAACACCAGUGGCGAAAGCGGCGCACUGGACCAUAACUGACGCUGAGGCGCGGAAGCUAGGGGAGCAAACAGG
This 253-nucleotide ribosomal RNA is filed under the name uncultured bacterium. Its description in RNAcentral is "partial 16S ribosomal RNA". It matches the Rfam family "Bacterial small subunit ribosomal RNA", at positions 524 to 776 of the family's 1533-position model. The record is from RNAcentral.